GUACUCGAGUGGCGAACGGGUGAGUAACACGUGGGUGAUCUGCCUUGCACUUCGGGAUAAGCUUGGGAAACUGGGUCUAAUACCGGAUAGGACAGCUGUUUAGUGUCAGUUGUGGAAAGUUUUUUCGGUGCAAGAUGAGCUCGCGGCCUAUCAGCUUGUUGGUGGGGUAAUGGCCUACCAAGGCGUCGACGGGUAGCCGGCCUGAGAGGGUGUACGGCCACAUUGGGACUGAGAUACGGCCCAGACUCCUACGGGAGGCAGCAGUGGGGAAUAUUGCACAAUGGGCGGAAGCCUGAUGCAGCGACGCCGCGUGGGGGAUGAAGGCCUUCGGGUUGUAAACUCCUUUCGACAGGGACGAAGCGUAAGUGACGGUACCUGUAUAAGAAGCACCGGCUAACUACGUGCCAGCAGCCGCGGUAAUACGUAGGGUGCGAGCGUUGUCCGGAAUUACUGGGCGUAAAGAGCUCGUAGGUGGUUUGUCGCGUCGUCCGUGAAAUUCCGGGGCUUAACUCCGGGCGUGCAGGCGAUACGGGCUGACUUGAGUGCUGUAGGGGAGACUGGAAUUCCUGGUGUACGGUGAAAUGCGCAGAUAUCAGGAGGAACACCGAUGGCGAAGGCAGGUCUCUGGGCAGUAACUGACGCUGAGGAGCGAAAGCAUGGGUAGCGAACAGGAUUAGAUACCCUGGUAGUCCAUGCCGUAAACGGUGGGCGCUAGGUGUAGGGGGCUUCCACGUCUUCUGUGCCGUAGCUAACGCAUUAAGCGCCCCGCCUGGGGAGUACGGCCGCAAGGCUA
Molecule: ribosomal RNA, 793 nt
Filed under: uncultured Actinomycetes bacterium
Lineage: Bacteria; Bacillati; Actinomycetota; Actinomycetes
Description: bacterial SSU rRNA
Rfam family: Bacterial small subunit ribosomal RNA
Source: RNAcentral